RNAcentral lists this small RNA (295 nucleotides) under Arabidopsis thaliana (thale cress). RNAcentral describes it as "ATSL064540". The record is from RNAcentral. Lineage: Eukaryota; Viridiplantae; Streptophyta; Magnoliopsida; Brassicales; Brassicaceae.
UUUUUGAUGUUGUUGUCAAUAUAUGAUUAAAUAGAAUUAUAAAUUAUUUGAUGAAACGAGUUGUGUUCAAAAUUAGACUCUGAUCGAUAUGCAUCACCAAAAAUUAGCUUAACCAGAAUUAAAAUAUGGUAAAAAUCUUAGAGCAUCCCCAGCGUAUAUCUUAGCCUAAUCUUAGCAAACAUCUUAGCAUUAAAAGCAAUUAUAAUUAAUCAAACCAAUUAAGAUAUGUAUUUUAACUAAGAUGUUUUUCUUAAGGUAAGAAUGACACAUGUGUCAUUGGAAUAGUAAUUUGUUA